CCUACGGGAGGCAGCAGUGGGGAAUCUUGGACAAUGGGGGCAACCCUGAUCCAGCCAUGCCGCGUGAGUGAUGAAGGCCUUAGGGUCGUAAAGCUCUUUCGCCUGUGAUGAUAAUGACAGUAGCAGGUAAAGAAACCCCGGCUAACUCCGUGCCAGCAGCCGCGGUAAUACGGAGGGGGUUAGCGUUGUUCGGAAUUACUGGGCGUAAAGCGCGCGUAGGCGGAUUAGUCAGUUAGAGGUGAAAUCCCAGGGCUCAACCCUGGAACUGCCUUUAAUACUGCUAGUCUUGAGUUCGAGAGAGGUAAGUGGAAUUCCGAGUGUAGAGGUGAAAUUCGUAGAUAUUCGGAGGAACACCAGUGGCGAAGGCGGCUCACUGGCUCGAUACUGACGCUGAGGUGCGAAAGUGUGGGGAGCAAACAGGAUUAGAUACCCUGGUAGUCCACACCGUAAGCGAUGAAUGCCAGUCGUCGGCAAGCAUGCUUGUCGGUGACACACCUAACGGAUUAAGCAUUCCGCCUGGGGAGUACGGUCGCAAGAUUAAAACUCAAAGGAAUUGACGG
RNAcentral lists this ribosomal RNA (560 nucleotides) under Nautella sp. SH3102B61. RNAcentral's name for it is "bacterial SSU rRNA". It matches the Rfam family "Bacterial small subunit ribosomal RNA", at positions 338 to 916 of the family's 1533-position model. Lineage: Bacteria; Pseudomonadati; Pseudomonadota; Alphaproteobacteria; Rhodobacterales; Roseobacteraceae. The record is from RNAcentral.